AUGCCUGAAAGCAAAGCAUCACCAGACCUCCCGUGGACAGCACAGCCCUUGCCAGGGACUGGCAUGCAUACUUUGCCUCAGCACACAGCACUGAGGGUGACAGGCACUGCUGCGGCAGGGCCCUGCGUCACACGCGGGGUGAGAUCACCAGCUCUGGAGAUGGCGAUUCAACAUUGUUCCUGCUUCUUCAGGAGAAAGGCAGCAAGGCCUCAUGGUUCCAUGGAUAUGAUGGAACUGCACAGGAAUGGUACUGAAAUAAUGUGGUCACAGGCCAUUAUCAGUCCAACUUUUCUGUCCUACGAAGCUGUGGUGAAGCUGACUGACUGUCUGAAAUUACUCCUACUAUUUUCUACAAGAAGCCAAAAUUAGACUCUGCAGACAAUUCGGAAGCAGAUGGCAAGGUCUGACCAUGUCUCUAACAAAUAUAGGAUACAGUCCAGGUAAAGCUGCCUUAUUGUUCAUUAGAUAGAUGCCUAAUGCUUGUCAGUGCUACACAGGGGUUUUCAUGGCAUACACACAUUGUGGCUCUGAGAUAGUGCAGGACCCUUCAAGGUUAUUUGUUCUUUUUACAAGAUUAGCUGCCUCCAAAGACACAGAGUGACUCCCUAACGCUGGGUUCCCCAACUUAAAAUACUCCACACUUCCAGAAAUCAGCAGUUUGUUGUUUUGUUUUGCCCAGGAGCUGCCUGUCACUAUUGAAAAACUUAGUAUACUUACAUGCCAUCUGCAUAACUAAAGCAGCAUCAAACCCUAUUUGUUCCAGGACCUGUUUUUUUUUUGUUUUUUUUUNUUUUUUUUUUUUUUUUUUGUGGAGGAUGAGUUGUGUUUUAUUUGCAGUCAUGUUAUGUUUCUUUAUUAGACUGAACCUUAACAAAAUAUACGUACAUAUAUGUAUAUACUCCUCCCAAAAUGCAAAUACCAUUGGCCAUUUGCAGAGGAAGGAAGAGCAUCCUCUGUUUACCUGUUCAUUUGCUAAAAUCCCCCAAACCCCACCUUUCUAGAUUCUCUGAAUCAAUCUGGGACUGAAGCCAAAGUCACCUGCUAUAUAAGACUGAGAGAACACAGGUGAACUACUCCUCCUGACCAAUCUUAGACCCAGCAUCCUUGUGCCAGACUCCACUCAAGAUGGGGUUUGGCAGGAGGAUACGGGUAACAGAAUGGGCUUUCCUGUUAGCAGUUUGCUGUAUCCAUCAGACAGGUAAGGAGUUUUUUGUUGUUGUUGUUUGUUUGUUUUUUAAUUCUAUUAAUAUAUUUUAAGCAACUAAACUCAUUUUAUUGGUUCACUUAACAAAUGGUUGCACUUAAAUGAGACUUUUCUGUACGUUACUUUCAUUAAAUAUUUAGUGUCUGCCUAUUAACUGGACUGACUUAAUUUAAUGUUCCCUCAAGCCACUGUAUAUAACCAUAUUUGGAAGGUAGUCUUGCAGAGCAAACCAAAAAGAACCAUUAUUCAUGUCCAUUAAUUCAAGUGUCAGUUGUUCAAUACUGCCUAUGCCUUAUGAAAGCAUUUUAUUUCUUUUGUAUUUCGUAGUGAGAUUGAUUAUGAAUGUUAUGUUCUUUUUAUGCAAUUUAAAACACUGCAUUUCCCCAUUGCUAGACCAGACCACUGGUCAUUCUUUUCCACCAACUAGGAGCUAGUAUCAGAUUCCUCAAGAUUUCUUGCAGCUUCUUUUGCAAAAGAGACUGGAAGGGUAUAUUCAUGUGACAACGAUUUUCAGUAACGUUUGUACAUUGAUAGUACAUUAUGUGUGACAUUUAUGUAAAUUGUUGGUUUUGAGUAUGAGCAGGACUGGGAGAUUUAUCUGAUGCAUGCAAUCCAUCAUUUUGUGUGUGUGUAUGUUUUUUCUACUGACAAUAUUACAUUAAUCAGGGCUGAUCUUGUCAGAUUUUAUUAAGUCCUGUUCAGUUAAUCGGACUGCUCAAAUAGAAAUUACUUGCAUGAGUACAAGCUUGUUGAGUCAAUUCCAUUCAUGUACAGUAAUUACUGCCCUGUCAGUUAACAUUUUAAAAUCUUCAGAUUGCCUCUGAAUUUAUACUUCAUAUCAUUUUAAAAACAAUGACAAGUGCAAAUAUAAUUUUUGGCUAUGAAAUAAACAUGUAUAAGUUGAUAAACACGGUAAGGUGAUUUAAGCAAAAAAUACAGCAGUCACUUUGAGUGUAAGCUUACACUCUUAGAGUUAUACAACAUCAGUCAAAUCAUCCUCAGCCCUUCGCUAAACAAGCAAGUUAUUUGUGAGGUGCAAUGCUAACCUGACAAAUUGCUUUGAUAAAUGAAUAGUGGUUAGACCAAGUCCAG
This 2296-nucleotide long non-coding RNA is filed under the name Cairina moschata (Muscovy duck). Its description in RNAcentral is "domestica (muscovy Duck (domestic type)) lncRNA (ENSCMMG00000001947.1)". Lineage: Eukaryota; Metazoa; Chordata; Aves; Anseriformes; Anatidae. The record is from RNAcentral.